GACAGAGGGUGCAAACGUUGUUCGGAAUUACUGGGCGUAAAGCGCGUGUAGGCGGCCAUGCAAGUCGGAUGUGAAAGCCCUCGGCUCAACCGGGGAAGUGCACUCGAAACUGCAAGGCUAGAGUCUCGGAGAGGAUCGUGGAAUUCUCGGUGUAGAGGUGAAAUUCGUAGAUAUCGAGAGGAACACCGGUGGCGAAGGCGGCGAUCUGGACGAUGACUGACGCUGAGACGCGAAAGCGUGGGGAGCGAACAGG
RNAcentral lists this ribosomal RNA (253 nucleotides) under uncultured bacterium. RNAcentral describes it as "partial 16S ribosomal RNA". It matches the Rfam family "Bacterial small subunit ribosomal RNA", at positions 524 to 776 of the family's 1533-position model. The record is from RNAcentral.